ACUCCUACGGGAGGCAGCAGUGAGGAAUAUUGGACAAUGGUCGGGAGACUGAUCCAGCCAUGCCGCGUGCAGGAUGACUGCCCUAUGGGUUGUAAACUGCUUUUAUACGGGAAGAAACGCACCUACGUGUAGGUGUCUGACGGUACCGUAAGAAUAAGGACCGGCUAACUCCGUGCCAGCAGCCGCGGUAAUACGGAGGGUCCGAGCGUUAUCCGGAAUCAUUGGGUUUAAAGGGUCCGUAGGCGGGCCGUUAAGUCAGGGUGAAAGUCUGCGGCUCAACCGUAGAAUUGCCUUUGAUACUGGCGGUCUUGAGUCAUGGUGGGGUUGCCGGAACAUGUGGUGUAGCGGUGAAAUGCAUAGAUAUCACAUAGAACACCGAUCGCGAAGGCAGGUGACCAACCAUGUACUGACGCUGAUGGACGAAAGCGUGGGUAGCGAACGGGAUUAGAUACCCUGGUAGGCUCUGC
RNAcentral lists this ribosomal RNA (467 nucleotides) under uncultured bacterium. Its description in RNAcentral is "bacterial SSU rRNA". It matches the Rfam family "Bacterial small subunit ribosomal RNA", at positions 335 to 800 of the family's 1533-position model. The record is from RNAcentral.